RNAcentral lists this long non-coding RNA (1830 nucleotides) under Capsicum annuum. RNAcentral describes it as "long non-coding RNA (CANN_LNC019860)". The record is from RNAcentral. Lineage: Eukaryota; Viridiplantae; Streptophyta; Magnoliopsida; Solanales; Solanaceae.
CGAUGCCUUGAGCCUUCCUCACCUCCUUUGCGUACAUGAUGUUGGGGCAUUCUCCGGUAAAUAAGUAUAAAUGACCUUGGGGUAUUCUCCGACUAAAUAAAUACACUUGCAGUUUGUGAUAAAGUAGAAAGAAAUAUUCACACUCACAUUCAAACAUUCAACAAAACACCAUUCUUAAAUUUGUCUACCCGAGCCUACUGUUUGCCUAUCAAUUUCAAUCCAUUAUGAUGCUAUUGCGUAUAACAACAUCAACACUUAUUCCAAAUUAAAUAAUCAUCAAUGAAUCAAAAUAACUAACUUUUAUUUUUCAUCAAAACCAACCCUUUCCCAAAUUCAUUCUCAAAAUAAUUAAUCAAUUCUUCGACUACCAAUUCAAGUUUUCACAUUCAAAUCCAUCAUCAACCAACACACAACAAAGAUACAAACAUGUCAAACAGCAAAUCAUUCACAUUCACGUUGAAAUUAAAGGGAAAGAAGAUAGAAUUGAACCUCAAUGCCACUUUUAAAAUCAAUGUAUUAUUUCGAUUAACCCAGUAGAAUCAGCAUCUGAAGUACCUUGAUUUGAACCUCAAUAACGAACAACACCAAUCUUGAUAUACCCUUUUCGCUUUGCUUUUACCAAUUCAAACCCACAACUCGACUAAUCUAUCCAACCCGCUCCCAUUUUUCUCUAGUUUGAGACAAAAACCACGACAAUAAGAAUUAACCACACCUAAACCGACACAACAAGACUGUUUUGGUGUCUUCUCCAAUCGGUCUCAUCGGAAGUGGAAACAGGGGGGGUCGGGUUUGGUGGUUUUUAGCUGUAAAAUCACAGGUGCUCCGGUGGCGGGUAUUUUUUGGCGUUUAGCCGAGUUUUUUGGUGAACGAUCAAUCGCCAGAACAGUGUUCUCCGACCUCUCUCUCGAUCUAUCUCACUCUCUCAAUUUUCUCUGGUUUCUCGAUCUCUCUCUCCUCUAUUCUUUUUUCACUAUUUUUCCCAAAUUCCCCUAUUUUUCUUCUCUCGACCUCACUGUGUGUGUCGUGAAUCCGAUGAGGUGAGUGUGUUUAUGGUGAGUUUUUGCGAAUGGAACAAAAUAGUGUAUGUGUGAUUCUAUUGAUGAGCAUCUAUGUGUGAUGUGAUUUUUAGUUGUGUGAAUAAGUAUGUUAUGUGCGUGUGAAAUUCCAGUGAGGUGUAGUGAUUUCUCUGUAUGUGCCCUGGUGAAGAAGAAGCAAAUAUGGCCUAUGUAAUGGUGUAUAUGCAUGUGUUGUUGUGUGCGUGAUGUUAUUUGUAUAUUGUGAGGAUUGAAAAAUGGAGAAGUCCCCUUUUUUAUUUGUGCUACUAUGUGUAUAUAUUAAAUUGUGAGUGAAAAAAAAAUGUGCCAAGGGUGGGGUGGGGUAUGUGGGUAUGGGGUUAGGGGGUUGGGUAGGGUAGUGGUGAGGUGUUAAAAUUAGUUAGAAUAAGGGAAUAUUAGGGAUUAGGGAUUUAAUUUGUUAGGAUUUGGUUAUUUUUUGUUUUUUUGUGGGGAAACUGUAAAGUGGGUGAGGAUGUAUGAUAAGGUGAGGCAAAAAUGAAUAAAAUUGAACUUCGAGAGGAAAAAAAUUAGGUGUCUACAAUUCUUGCCAGCUUAGGGUGUGACCCUUAGUAGCAAUCCUUGAGUUAUAAAACUACGUAGCCAGCGUAGGUUAAUGUGUCUUCCUACCAGUCUAGGGUUGGCAUGCAUAUUUACAUCUCUGAGUCUUCCUGCCAGAUUAGGAUUGACCCAAGUAACCUGUGGCACGAUACUAACACCCUUCCAACUGGGGUUAUAGUUUGGACCCUAAAUCAGUUAACAUUAGGGCAUGUCGGUU